RNAcentral lists this ribosomal RNA (398 nucleotides) under uncultured bacterium. RNAcentral describes it as "partial 16S ribosomal RNA". It matches the Rfam family "Bacterial small subunit ribosomal RNA", at positions 523 to 918 of the family's 1533-position model. The record is from RNAcentral.
AUACGUAGGGUGCGAGCGUUGUCCGGAAUUACUGGGCGUAAAGAGCUCGUAGGUGGUUUGUCGCGUCGUCUGUGAAAUUCCGGGGCUUAACUCCGGGCGUGCAGGCGAUACGGGCAUAACUUGAGCACUGUAGGGGAGACUGGAAUUCCUGGUGUAGCGGUGAAAUGCGCAGAUAUCAGGAGGAACACCGGUGGCGAAGGCGGGUCUCUGGGCAGUAACUGACGCUGAGGAGCGAAAGCAUGGGUAGCGAACAGGAUUAGAUACCCUGGUAGUCCAUGCCGUAAACGGUGGGCGCUAGGUGUAGGGGUCUUCCACGACUUCUGUGCCGUAGCUAACGCAUUAAGCGCCCCGCCUGGGGAGUACGGCCGCAAGGCUAAAACUCAAAUGAAUUGACGGGG